RNAcentral lists this ribosomal RNA (460 nucleotides) under uncultured bacterium. Its description in RNAcentral is "partial 16S ribosomal RNA". It matches the Rfam family "Bacterial small subunit ribosomal RNA", at positions 338 to 795 of the family's 1533-position model. The record is from RNAcentral.
CCUACGGGUGGCAGCAGUGAGGAAUAUUGGUCAAUGGGCGCGAGCCUGAACCAGCCAAGUAGCGUGAAGGAUGACUGCCCUACGGGUUGUAAACUUCUUUUAUAAAGGAAUAAAGUGAGGCACGUGUGCCUUUUUGUAUGGACUUUAUGAAGAAGGAUCGGCUAACUCCGUGCCAGCAGCCGCGGUAAGACGGAGGAUCCGAGCGUUAUCCGGAUGUAUUGGGGUUAAAGGGCGCGUAGAUGGGUUGUUAAGUCAGUUGUGAACGUUUGCGGCUCAACCGGAAAAUUGCAAUUGAUACUGGCAGUCUUGAGUCCAGUUGAGGUAGGCGGAAUUCGUGGUGUAGCGGUGAAAUGCUUAGAUAUCACGAAGAACUCCGAUUGCGAAGGCAGCUUACUAAACUGCCACUGACAUUGAUGCUCGAAAGUGUGGGUAUCAAACAGGAUUAGAUACCCGGGUAGUC